CCUACGGGAGGCUGCAGUGGGGAAUAUUGGACAAUGGGCGAAAGCCUGAUCCAGCCAUGCCGCGUGUGUGAAGAAGGCCUUCGGGUUGUAAAGCACUUUCAGUGGGGAAGAAAGCCUUGGGGCUAAUACCCUCGAGGAAGGACAUCACCCACAGAAGAAGCACCGGCUAACUCCGUGCCAGCCGCCGCGGUAAUACGGAGGGUGCGAGCGUUAAUCGGAAUUACUGGGCGUAAAGCGCGCGUAGGCGGUCUGAUAAGCCGGUUGUGAAAGCCCCGGGCUCAACCUGGGAACGGCAUCCGGAACUGUCAGGCUAGAGUGCAGGAGAGGAAGGUAGAAUUCCCGGUGUAGCGGUGAAAUGCGUAGAGAUCGGGAGGAAUACCAGUGGCGAAGGCGGCCUUCUGGACUGACACUGACGCUGAGGUGCGAAAGCGUGGGUAGCAAACAGGAUUAGAUACCCCUGUAGUC
Molecule: ribosomal RNA, 465 nt
Filed under: Vreelandella stevensii
Lineage: Bacteria; Pseudomonadati; Pseudomonadota; Gammaproteobacteria; Oceanospirillales; Halomonadaceae
Description: partial 16S ribosomal RNA
Rfam family: Bacterial small subunit ribosomal RNA
Source: RNAcentral